UAGUAAUGGCGAAUGAACAGGGAAAAGCCCAAUUUUAAAAUCACUUGACUGUGAAUUGUAGUUUAUAGGAGGGUAGAACUGUACUGCCUUGUUAAGUCUCUUGAAAAGGAGCUACAAAGAGGGUGAAAUCCCCGUUUUGGCGCAAGUAGUAGUAUAGAACUUAACUCUAAAGAGUCAUGUUGCUUGAGAAUGCAGCAUAAAAUGGGUGGUAAAUUCCAUCUAAGGCUAAAUAUUGGUAAGAGACCGAUAGCAAACAAGUACCGUAAGGGAAAGAUGAAAGAGAACCUUGAAAAGGGGCUCAAAAGAAAGUGAAAUUGUUUUAAGGAAAGCGUUUAAAACUUUUAAAACAUGUGCAUCAAUUAGAGGGGAGCAAGCCCUUUGCCAUUGAUGCAUGUGUGGCUAUUGCUCUGGUUUGAGCUUAUAAGGGCUAGAGGAAAGGUAUAUUGAGAUUGCGCUCGAUUUCUUACAGGCCUUUUAGGAAUGUAAAGUUUGGGCCAGUGUUAAAAGUCAU
Molecule: ribosomal RNA, 511 nt
Filed under: Zoophthora independentia
Lineage: Eukaryota; Fungi; Entomophthoromycota; Entomophthoromycetes; Entomophthorales; Entomophthoraceae
Description: LSU rRNA
Rfam family: Eukaryotic large subunit ribosomal RNA
Source: RNAcentral